CCUCAAAUCGGGUGAGACUACCCGCUGAACUUAAGCAUA
Molecule: ribosomal RNA, 39 nt
Filed under: Lactarius cf. castaneibadius LIP CL/MART06.019
Lineage: Eukaryota; Fungi; Basidiomycota; Agaricomycetes; Russulales; Russulaceae
Description: partial 28S ribosomal RNA
Source: RNAcentral